UCUCAGUUCGGAUUGUAGGCUGAAACUCGCCUACAUGAAGCUGGAGUUACUAGUAAUCGCAGAUCAGAAUGCUGCGGUGAAUGCGUUCCCGGGUCUUGUACACACCGCCCGUCACACCACGGGAGUUGGAGACGCCCGAAGCCGAUUAUCUAACCUUUUGGAAGAAGUCGUCGAAGGUGGAAUCAAUAACUGGGGUGAAGUCGUAACAAGGUAGCCGUAUCGGAAGGUGCGGCUGGAUCACCUCCUUUCUAAGGA
RNAcentral lists this ribosomal RNA (255 nucleotides) under Clostridioides difficile. RNAcentral's name for it is "partial 16S ribosomal RNA". It matches the Rfam family "Bacterial small subunit ribosomal RNA", at positions 1286 to 1533 of the family's 1533-position model. Lineage: Bacteria; Bacillati; Bacillota; Clostridia; Peptostreptococcales; Peptostreptococcaceae. The record is from RNAcentral.